This 562-nucleotide ribosomal RNA is filed under the name uncultured bacterium. Its description in RNAcentral is "partial 16S ribosomal RNA". It matches the Rfam family "Bacterial small subunit ribosomal RNA", at positions 355 to 941 of the family's 1533-position model. The record is from RNAcentral.
UGGGGAAUCUUGCGCAAUGGGCGAAAGCCUGACGCAGCCAUGCCGCGUGAAUGAUGAAGGUCUUAGGAUUGUAAAAUUCUUUCACCGGGGACGAUAAUGACGGUACCCGGAGAAGAAGCCCCGGCUAACUUCGUGCCAGCAGCCGCGGUAAUACGAAGGGGGCUAGCGUUGCUCGGAAUUACUGGGCGUAAAGGGAGCGUAGGCGGACAUUUAAGUCAGGGGUGAAAUCCCGGGGCUCAACCUCGGAAUUGCCUUUGAUACUGGGUGUCUUGAGUGUGAGAGAGGUAUGUGGAACUCCGAGUGUAGAGGUGAAAUUCGUAGAUAUUCGGAAGAACACCAGUGGCGAAGGCGACAUACUGGCUCAUUACUGACGCUGAGGCUCGAAAGCGUGGGGAGCAAACAGGAUUAGAUACCCUGGUAGUCCACGCCGUAAACGAUGAUUGCUAGUUGUCGGGAUGCAUGCAUUUCGGUGACGCAGCUAACGCAUUAAGCAAUCCGCCUGGGGAGUACGGUCGCAAGAUUAAAACUUAAAUGAAUUGACGGGGGUCAUAGCUGUUUCCUG